GACGAACGCUGGCGGCGUGUCUAAUACAUGCAAGUUGAGCGCUGAAGGUUGGUCCUUGUACCAACUGGAUGAGCAGCGAACGGGUGAGUAACGCGUGGGGAAUCUGCCUUUGAGCGGGGGACAACAUUUGGAAACGAAUGCUAAUACCGCAUAAAAACUUUAAACACAAGUUUUAAGUUUGAAAGAUGCAAUUGCAUCACUCAAAGAUGAUCCCGCGUUGUAUUAGCUAGUUGGUGAGGUAAAGGCUCACCAAGGCGAUGAUACAUAGCCGACCUGAGAGGGUGAUCGGCCACAUUGGGACUGAGACACGGCCCAAACUCCUACGGGAGGCAGCAGUAGGGAAUCUUCGGCAAUGGACGAAAGUCUGACCGAGCAACGCCGCGUGAGUGAAGAAGGUUUUCGGAUCGUAAAACUCUGUUGGUAGAGAAGAACGUUGGUGAGAGUGGAAAGCUCAUCAAGUGACGGUAACUACCCAGAAAGGGACGGCUAACUACGUG
This 497-nucleotide ribosomal RNA is filed under the name uncultured bacterium. RNAcentral's name for it is "partial 16S ribosomal RNA". It matches the Rfam family "Bacterial small subunit ribosomal RNA", at positions 28 to 507 of the family's 1533-position model. The record is from RNAcentral.